UGGGGAAUAUUGGACAAUGGGCGCAAGCCUGAUCCAGCCAUGCCGCGUGAGUGAUGAAGGGCCUUAGGGUUGUAAAGCUCUUUCGCCGGUGAAGAUAAUGACGGUAACCGGAGAAGAAGCCCCGGCUAACUUCGUGCCAGCAGCCGCGGUAAUACGAAGGGGGCUAGCGUUGCUCGGAAUCACUGGGCGUAAAGCGCACGUAGGCGGAUCGUUAAGUCAGGGGUGAAAUCCUGGAGCUCAACUCCAGAACUGCCCUUGAUACUGGCGAUCUCGAGUUCGAGAGAGGUUGGUGGAACUCCGAGUGUAGAGGUGAAAUUCGUAGAUAUUCGGAAGAACACCAGUGGCGAAGGCGGCCAACUGGCUCGAUACUGACGCUGAGGUGCGGAAGCGUGGGGAGCAAAACAGGAUUAGAUACCCUGGUAGUCCACGCCGUAAACGAUGGAUGCUAGCCGUUGGGGGGUUUACCUCUCAGUGGCGCAGCUAACGCCUUAAGCAUCCCGCCUGGGGAGUACGGUCGCAAGAUU
RNAcentral lists this ribosomal RNA (524 nucleotides) under uncultured bacterium. RNAcentral's name for it is "partial 16S ribosomal RNA". It matches the Rfam family "Bacterial small subunit ribosomal RNA", at positions 355 to 895 of the family's 1533-position model. The record is from RNAcentral.